This 28-nucleotide non-coding RNA is filed under the name Rattus norvegicus (Norway rat). The record is from RNAcentral. Lineage: Eukaryota; Metazoa; Chordata; Mammalia; Rodentia; Muridae.
UUUGAGUCAUUCUAGAUUUUCCUAAAUA